GGAUUAGAUACCCUGGUAGUCCACGCCGUAAACGAUGUCUACUAGCCGUUGGGGAGCUUGUCUCUUUAGUGGCGCAGCUAACGCACUAAGUAGACCGCCUGGGGAGUACGGUCGCAAGAUUAAAACUCAAAUGAAUUGACGGGGGCCCGCACAAGCGGUGGAGCAUGUGGUUUAAUUCGACGCAACGCGAAGAACCUUACCUACUCUUGACAUCCAGAGAAUUCGCUAGAGAUAGCUUAGUGCCUUCGGGAGCUCUGAGACAGGUGCUGCAUGGCUGUCGUCAGCUCGUGCCG
Molecule: ribosomal RNA, 293 nt
Filed under: uncultured bacterium
Lineage: Bacteria
Description: partial 16S ribosomal RNA
Rfam family: Bacterial small subunit ribosomal RNA
Source: RNAcentral